UAUUGGCUCACUAUCGUCAGCGCGGUGUCUAGAGAUGCGGAAUUAAAUUCUUCGUCGGGUUGUAUUUGUUUGUUGCAGGAAUUCGGUCGGCAACCCGCUAAGGUGGACUAAGACGACAACUGGACUAAAAUACCCAGAACUGUCCAAGAAAUUGAAGAUUGGAUUGCCGGUGUUGAUGAUGAUUCCAAAUGCGAUUGAAAGAAUUUACAAUGAAGCUGUUAUUGAUAUCAUUUUUGUUUAUUAUGUUAAAAAUUGUAAAAAGAGCAUUGUAUAAUUACAUGUAUAUAUUGAGAAAUUGA
This is a long non-coding RNA of Dalotia coriaria, 299 nucleotides long. RefSeq lists it as uncharacterized. NCBI's taxonomy places the organism in Eukaryota, Metazoa, Arthropoda, Insecta, Coleoptera, Staphylinidae. The transcript is spliced from 2 exons. The record is from RefSeq and is a predicted model, not a curated record.